RNAcentral lists this ribosomal RNA (610 nucleotides) under uncultured delta proteobacterium. Its description in RNAcentral is "bacterial SSU rRNA". It matches the Rfam family "Bacterial small subunit ribosomal RNA", at positions 227 to 828 of the family's 1533-position model. Lineage: Bacteria; Deltaproteobacteria. The record is from RNAcentral.
GGGUCUGCGUUUCAUUAGCUAGUUGGUAGGGUAAUGGCCUACCAAGGCAACGAUGAGUAGCUGGUCUGAGAGGAUGAUCAGCCACACUGGAACUGAAACACGGUCCAGACUCCUACGGGAGGCAGCAGUGGGGAAUAUUGCGCAAUGGGCGAAAGCCUGACGCAGCAACGCCGUGUGAGGGAUGAAGGCUUUCGGGUCGUAAACCUCUGUCGGAAGGGAAGAACGGGCAUUGGUCUAAUAGGCCUUUGUUUUGACGGUACCUUUAGAGGAAGCACCGGCUAACUCCGUGCCAGCAGCCGCGGUAAUACGGAGGGUGCAAGCGUUAUUCGGAAUUACUGGGCGUAAAGCGCACGUAGGCCGCUUUGUAAGUCAGGGGUGAAAUCCCACGGCUCAACCGUGGAACUGCCUUUGAAACUGCAGAGCUUGAAUCCUGGAGAGGGUGGCGGAAUUCCUGGUGUAGGAGUGAAAUCCGUAGAUAUCAGGAGGAACACCGGUGGCGAAGGCGGCCACCUGGACAGGCAUUGACGCUGAGGUGCGAAAGUGUGGGGAGCAAACAGGAUUAGAUACCCUGGUAGUCCACACCGUAAACGAUGGACACUAGAUGUCGGAG